AACACUGUUAACCUGCGGUACCUGCGGAGGGAUCACUACCGAGUUUACAACUCCCAAACCCCUGUGAACAUACCACUUGUUGCCUCGGCGGAUCAGCCCGCUCCCGGUAAAACGGGACGGCCCGCCAGAGGACCCCUAAACUCUGUUUCUAUAUGUAACUUCUGAGUAAAACCAUAAAUAAAUCAAAACUUUCAACAAUGGAUCU
Molecule: unclassified non-coding RNA, 205 nt
Filed under: soil metagenome
Description: partial contains 5.8S ribosomal RNA, internal transcribed spacer 2, and large subunit ribosomal RNA
Source: RNAcentral